GGAUCCAGACUUUGAUUCUGGCUCAGGACGAACGCUGGCGGCGUGCUUAACACAUGCAAGUCGAACGGGGUGUUUAUUUCGGUAAACACCAAGUGGCGAACGGGUGAGUAACGCGUAAGCAAUCUACCUUCAAGAUGGGGACAACACUUCGAAAGGGGUGCUAAUACCGAAUGAAUGUAAGAGUAUCGCAUGAGACACUUACUAAAGGAGGCCUCUGAAAAUGCUUCCGCUUGAAGAUGAGCUUGCGUCUGAUUAGCUAGUUGGUGAGGGUAAAGGCCCACCAAGGCGACGAUCAGUAGCCGGUCUGAGAGGAUGAACGGCCACAUUGGGACUGAGACACGGCCCAGACUCCUACGGGAGGCAGCAGUGGGGAAUCUUCCGCAAUGGGCGAAAGCCUGACGGAGCAACGCCGCGUGAACGAUGAAGGUCUUAGGAUCGUAAAGUUCUGUUGUUAGGGACGAAGGGUAAGGAUCAUAAUAAGGUUUUUAUUUGACGGUACCUAACGAGGAAGCCACGGCUAACUACGUGCCAGCAGCCGCGGUAAUACGUAGGCGGCAAGCGUUGUCCGGAAUUAUUGGGCGUAAAGGGAGCGCAGGCGGGAAACUAAGCGGAUCUUAAAAGUGCGGGGCUCAACCCCGUGAUGGGGUCCGAACUGGUUUUCUUGAGUGCAGGAGAGGAAAGCGGAAUUCCCAGUGUAGCGGUGAAAUGCGUAGAUAUUGGGAAGAACACCAGUGGCGAAGGCGGCUUUCUGGACUGUAACUGACGCUGAGGCUCGAAAGCUAGGGUAGCGAACGGGAUUAGAUACCCCGGUAGUCCUAGCCGUAAACGAUGGAUACUAGGUGUGGGAGGUAUCGACUCCUUCCGUGCCGGAGUUAACGCAAUAAGUAUCCCGCCUGGGGAGUACGGCCGACAAGGUUGCAACUCAAAU
This 928-nucleotide ribosomal RNA is filed under the name uncultured Bacillota bacterium. Its description in RNAcentral is "bacterial SSU rRNA". It matches the Rfam family "Bacterial small subunit ribosomal RNA", at positions 1 to 906 of the family's 1533-position model. The record is from RNAcentral. Lineage: Bacteria; Bacillati; Bacillota.